GGGCAUGUAGCUCAGGGGUGGAGUGCUUGCCUAGCAUGUGUGAAGCCCUGGAUUCGAUUCCCAGCACAGCCA
This 72-nucleotide transfer RNA is filed under the name Ictidomys tridecemlineatus (thirteen-lined ground squirrel). RNAcentral's name for it is "Spermophilus tridecemlineatus (thirteen-lined ground squirrel) tRNA". It matches the Rfam family "tRNA". From Rfam's summary of the family: Transfer RNA (tRNA) molecules are approximately 80 nucleotides in length. Their secondary structure includes four short double-helical elements and three loops (D, anti-codon, and T loops). Lineage: Eukaryota; Metazoa; Chordata; Mammalia; Rodentia; Sciuridae. The record is from Rfam by way of RNAcentral.